GACGAACGCUGGCGGCGUGCUUAACACAUGCAAGUCGAACGCUGAAGCUCAGCUUGCUGGGUGGAUGAGUGGCGAACGGGUGAGUAACACGUGAGUAACCUGCCCUCUUCUUUGGGAUAACGCCCGGAAACGGGUGCUAAUACUGGAUAUUCACUGAUUCUCGCAUGGGGGUUGGUGGAAAGGUUUUUUCUGGUGGGGGAUGGGCUCGCGGCCUAUCAGCUUGUUGGUGGGGUGAUGGCCUACCAAGGCUUUGACGGGUAGCCGGCCUGAGAGGGUGACCGGUCACAUUGGGACUGAGAGACGGCCCAGACUCCUACGGGAGGCAGCAGUGGGGAAUAUUGCACAAUGGGCGAAAGCCUGAUGCAGCGACGCCGCGUGAGGGAUGGAGGCCUUCGGGGUGUAAACCUCUUUCGCUCAUGGUCAAGCCGCAGCUUUGGGUUGUGGUGAGGGUAGUGGGUAAAGAAGCGCCGGCUAACUACGUG
Molecule: ribosomal RNA, 482 nt
Filed under: uncultured bacterium
Lineage: Bacteria
Description: partial 16S ribosomal RNA
Rfam family: Bacterial small subunit ribosomal RNA
Source: RNAcentral